RNAcentral lists this long non-coding RNA (373 nucleotides) under Mytilus galloprovincialis (Mediterranean mussel). Lineage: Eukaryota; Metazoa; Mollusca; Bivalvia; Mytilida; Mytilidae. The record is from RNAcentral.
GUUAAAUUUUAGACGGUUUUCGUGAAAAACGAAAGUGGCCGCAUUCGUGUUCAUCCUUAAUAUUGAAAUGUAAGUUGUAUUUUAUGAUAAUACAUAACAUAUAUAAAGGUUGAGGAUGAACACGGAUGCGGCCACUUUCAUUUUUGACAAAAACCAUCUGAAAAGUGACAUUUUUCGGCAUAUUUGGUAGAUUUUUCAUAUUUCAGCUUGAAUCGGUGCGUUUUUUAUGAAUAAAUCAGUUAAAAUCUUUCACAUAAACUAAUUGAUUCAAAUAAAAUAGACACUUAAGUGUUUAAAAAGGGGUCAAAAUCUUUCUUCAGAUGAACCUGAAAUUUGAGGCCAAAAUCGGUCCUUACCGGACCUACUCCUUUGA